GAUGAAGAACGUAGCGAAAUGCGAUAAGUAAUGCGAAUUGCAGAAUCCGUGAGUCAUCGAAUCUUUGAACGCACAUUGCGCCCCCUGGUAUUCCGGGGGGCAUGCCUGUCCGAGCGUCAUUACAACCCUCAAGCUCAGCUUGGUGUUGGGCCCCGCCGCCCCGGCGGGCCCUAAAGUCAGUGGCGGUGCCGUCCGGCUCCGAGCGUAGUAAUUCUUCUCGCUCUGGAGGUCCGGUCGUGUGCUCGCCAGCAACCCCCACUUUUUUUCAGGUUGACCUCGGAUCAGGUAGGGAUACCCGCUGAACUUAAGCAUAUCAAUAAGCGGAGGA
This 328-nucleotide unclassified non-coding RNA is filed under the name soil metagenome. RNAcentral describes it as "partial contains 5.8S ribosomal RNA, internal transcribed spacer 2, and large subunit ribosomal RNA". The stretch from base 1 to 119 matches the Rfam family "5.8S ribosomal RNA", at positions 35 to 154 of the family's 154-position model. The record is from RNAcentral.